GACGAACGCUGGCGGCGUGCUUAACACAUGCAAGUCGAACGGAAAGGCCCUGUUUGCAUGGUGCUCGGGUGGCGAACGGGUGAGUAACUCGUGGGUGAUCUGCCCCUUACUUUGGGGUAAGCCUGGGAAGCUGGGUCUAAUACUGGAUAGGUCCAUGCUGUAGGCGGUGUGGUGGAGUGUUUAGUUUCGGUUUGCAAUGAGCUCGCGGCCUCUCAGCUUGUUGUUGGGGUAUUGGCCUACCAAGGCGUCGACGGGUAUCCGGCCCAAGAGGGUGGACGGACACAUUGGGCCUGGGAGGGAGCCCAGAGUCCUGCGGGAGGGAGCAGUGGGGAAUAUUGGACAAUGGGCGGAAGCCUGAUGCAGCGACGCCGUGUGGGGGAUGACGGCCUUCGGGUUGUAAGCUCCUUUCUGCCAGGACGAAGCCCUUGUGGUGACGGUAGUGGUAGAAGAAGCACCGGCUAACUACGUG
RNAcentral lists this ribosomal RNA (469 nucleotides) under uncultured bacterium. RNAcentral's name for it is "partial 16S ribosomal RNA". It matches the Rfam family "Bacterial small subunit ribosomal RNA", at positions 28 to 507 of the family's 1533-position model. The record is from RNAcentral.